ACUCCUACGGGAGGCAGCAGUAAGGAAUAUUGGUCAAUGGAGGGAACUCUGAACCAGCCAUGCCGCGUGCAGGAAGACAGCCCUCUGGGGUCGUAAACUGUCUUUUAUUCGGGAAUUAAACCUUUCUACGUGUAGGAAGCUGAAUGUACCGAAGGAAUAAGGAUCGGCUAACUCCGUGCCAGCAGCCGCGGUAAUACGGAGGAUCCAAGCGUUAUCCGGUAUUUAGUUAGGGUUUAAAGGGUGCGUAGGCGGUCUUAUUAAGUCGAGGGGUAGAAAGACGGUGGCUCAACCAUCGCAGUGCCCUUGAUACUGAUGAGCUUGAAUACACUAGAGGUAGGCGGAAUGUGACAAGUAGCGGUGAAAUGCAUAGAUAUGUCACAGAACACCGAUUGCGAAAGGCAGCUUACUAUGGUGUUAUUGACGCUGAGGCACGAAAGCGUGGGAUCAAACAGGAUUAGAUACCCCUGGUAGCGACUGA
Molecule: ribosomal RNA, 478 nt
Filed under: uncultured bacterium
Lineage: Bacteria
Description: bacterial SSU rRNA
Rfam family: Bacterial small subunit ribosomal RNA
Source: RNAcentral